UGGGGAAUAUUGGACAAUGGGGGCAAGCCUGAUCCAGCCAUGCCGCGUGAGUGAAGAAGGCCUUCGGGUUGUAAAGCUCUUUUACCAGGGACGAUAAUGACGGUACCUGGAGAAUAAGCCCCGGCAAACUUCGUGCCAGCAGCCGCGGUAAUACGAAGGGGGCUAGCGUUGUUCGGAAUUACUGGGCGUAAAGCGCACGUAGGCGGAUUGUUAAGUCAGAGGUGAAAUCCCGGAGCUCAACUUCGGAACUGCCUUUGAUACUGGCAAUCUAGAGUCCGGAAGAGGUUAGUGGAAUUCCCAGUGUAGAGGUGAAAUUCGUAGAUAUUGGGAAGAACACCAGUGGCGAAGGCGGCUAACUGGUCCGGUACUGACGCUGAGGUGCGAAAGCGUGGGGAGCAAACAGGAUUAGAUACCCACGUAGUCCCUGAGCGGGCUGGCAAGGCGCAU
This 447-nucleotide ribosomal RNA is filed under the name uncultured bacterium. RNAcentral's name for it is "bacterial SSU rRNA". It matches the Rfam family "Bacterial small subunit ribosomal RNA", at positions 355 to 825 of the family's 1533-position model. The record is from RNAcentral.